RNAcentral lists this ribosomal RNA (231 nucleotides) under uncultured bacterium. RNAcentral's name for it is "partial 16S ribosomal RNA". It matches the Rfam family "Bacterial small subunit ribosomal RNA", at positions 118 to 347 of the family's 1533-position model. The record is from RNAcentral.
UGAGCAAUCUGCCCUUCUCAUCGGAAUAAGCGUUGGAAACGACGUCUAAUGCCGAAUACGACCUCCUUUCGCAUGAUCGGAGGUGGAAAGCUCCGGCGGAGAAGGAUGAGCUCGCGGCCUAUCAGCUAGUUGGUGUGGGUAAUGGCCCACCAAGGCGACGACGGGUAACCGCCUGAGAGAGUGACCGGCCACACUGGGGCUGAGACACGGCCCAGACUCCUACGGGAGCAG